RNAcentral lists this ribosomal RNA (740 nucleotides) under uncultured organism. Its description in RNAcentral is "bacterial SSU rRNA". It matches the Rfam family "Bacterial small subunit ribosomal RNA", at positions 48 to 823 of the family's 1533-position model. The record is from RNAcentral.
CUAACACAUGCAAGUCGAGCGGCAGCACUUAGGGUGGCGAGCGGCGAACGGCUGAGUAACACGUUAGUACCUGCCCCAAACUCAUGGAUAAGCCUUGGAAACGAGGUCUAAUACCGGAUGUUCCAGUAACGGGAAAGAUUUAUCCGGUUUGGGAGGGGCUUGCGACGUAUCACGCUUGUUGGUGAGGUAACUGCUCACCAAUGCUAUGACGCGUAUCUGGUGUGAGAGCACGACCAGACAGAGUGGGACUGAGACACGGCCCACACUCCUACGGGAGGCAGCAGUGAGGAAUUUUCCACAAUGGGCGAAAGCCUGAUGGAGCAAUCUCGCGUGGAGGAUGACCCUUUCGGGGCGUAAACUCCUUCUCUGAGGGAAGAAGUUCUGACGGUACCUCAGGAAUAAAGGGCGGCUAAUUCCGUGCCAGCAGCCGCGGUAAUACGGAAGCCCUAAGCGUUAUCCGGAAUCACUGGGCGUAAAGCGAUCGAAGGUGGACCAGUUAGUCUGACAUCAAAUCCCUGCGGCUCAACCGAGGGUUCGUGUCGGAAACUGCUGGACUAGAGGAAUGCCAGAGGAAACUGGAAAUUUCUGUUGUAGGGGUAAAAUCCGUAGAUAACAGAAGGAACACCAAAAGCGAAUGCAGGUUUCUGGGCAUUUCCUGACGCUGUGCGAUCGAAAGCGUGGGGAGCGAAAGGGAUUAGAUACCCCUGUAGUCCACGCCGUAAACGAUGGAUACUCGGUGU